AUGUCACCUGUACAAGAGAAGAGAAUAUUAAGUAAAUAGCACAAAGGGUUUGAUUAUGUAAUUUAGAAUGUUAUUUUGGUACAGUGUUGGAAGUUGUAGAACUGAUGAAAGGGAAGAGACUGCUAGUUGUGGCUGAAGUCAGACAAUGGAAAAAUAGCACUUGUUCAUUUAGCUGCUGGCUGUCACAUUUCUGAUCUGUAGGGCAGCACCUGCCAAAUUCCACCAUACUGCUAGGUUGAAUCUACUAAGAGCACUGUCAUUUUCUCCCAAUUUAAACUCCAGUUGCUCAUUCUGUUCCCAAGGGCAGAAGAGUUGAUCUGAUGAUACUCCCCUAUUGGAUAACCUCAUGUCUUCCACCAAGAAGUAGUUCUGCAUUAAAUAGCACAUGUUGAAAGUCACUGAUGGAAGCUAUAUACAACCUCCCAUCUCUGGUAACUUAGAUUUUCUUAAAUCUCCACAAUGAGUCCUGCCCUUAUGAUCUGCAGCGCUCUUAUUGUUUGGAGCUUUCUGGAGCACAAUUUCCCAAUUUUGCCAAAUGCUGUGGAGUGGUUCUAAAGUGCUGACAUUAGGGCACAUUUAUUCUUUGUAGCCUGUACCAUAUUUGGGAUUAGGUUCCACACACUGAAUAUGCCAGCCUUAAUUUAUUGUACAUCUAGUCUCAAAAUUGCUGGCAUUAUUAAUAGUAAAUUUAUCAAAAACUCUCCUCUAAAGAAAAGAAGCCUGCUUUGGGGUUAUACAACCAUCCUAACCAGAGCUGGCAAAGCAACCAACUGCAGCCAUCACCAACAUUGCUCUCUAGACAGUCAACACUCCAGAAGGCACAAUUGUUCCAUUUUACAGAGGGAAAAAGUGAGGCAGAAGUCACAGUAAACUAGUGGGAGGUCAGAUGAAAGACCUUUCACACCACAAAAUUAGCUUAUGUAACUCUGACAAUAUAAUAGAGGCCAAGAAGUUGCAAGGAUUCAAAUUGGGAUUUGAGGUUAUAAAAGGUGCUAGAAUUAUAGUACUAAAUUUAAAAAAAAAAAUAAAAUAAAAGGGCUGUGAAAGGGAUAUAAAUCUUCAUGGUUUUCAAGGUUUUACACAACCUCUAGCCAUUGAUAGGUUAACAGGAAACUUUCCCAGGUGGCAGGUUAUCCCAUACCUAUUGCAGGGGUUUUGGUACCCUGUCUCAAGCAUCUAAUACUGGGAUAAUGAAUUCAAAAAAUAAGGCCAGAAUAGACUAGAAUCAUUCUAGUCUGACUAUCUGCUUCACACAGGAUAAAGAACUUCAUCCAAUAAUUGCUGCAUCAAAUCCAUAGCUUAAUGGAACUAUAGCAUACCUUUUAGAAACAACUAGUCUUGACUCCCCCAUGUAGGUACUGCAGACCAUGAUCAAUUUAUGUCAACCUUCUCAUGGAUAAAUUAUACUGAGACUAAAAAAAAAAACCUCAAUUUAAAAAGGCAUAUUUUCCAAACCUUAGAUCUUUUUAUAGCUCUCUUCUGAAGGCUUUCCAAUUUGUCAACAUCCUUUUUGCAGUGUUGACACCAGAACGGGACACAGUAUCCCAAUAAUUCUCACUAAUGCCAGAUACAGAGGCAAUACCACUGCCUCACUCCUACUUGUUUUUCUAAAAGAUAGGAAUUACCUUAAGUUCUGUAGCAUGUGUUACAAAAGCUCAGACUAGAUAACAGUGAUCCAUUCUGGCCUUGGAAUCUAUCACUUUAUAUGCCCAAGGAUCGUGUUUACCCUCUUAGGUAAAACAUCACAGUGGGAGCUCAUGUUCAGGUGACUACCUUGUUUUCCAAAGAUAUAGUCAAAUCUUUUGUGUAACAUACAUUACUUGUUCCUAGAUGUAUGAUCUUGCAUAUGGUUGUAUUAAAAAAAACAUUCAAAUAAGCACAUCUUACCAUGUGAUCAAGGGCCAGUUAUCACUCCACCAAUUUGUCACCUACAGGUUUUACCAGUAAUGAUUUUAUAUUUUCUUCCUGAUCACUGAAAGAUACUGAAUGACACAGGGCAAUGAACAGACUCCUGUGGGGUCUCAUUAAAACAGUCCCAUUGGGUGACUAUUCUCCAUUUACAUUCCCCCCCCCCCCAUUUUCAGUUAACUAUAUUUUUAAUUCAUAUAAUAUGAGUGGUUGAAUUUGAAUAGUACUUUUUAAAAAAAUCAGUAUGUCAUACAGGACUAAGUCAAAUGCCUUACAGAAGAUGAAGUAUAUUUUAUCAGUUAUUUAAUCAAGCAAAUCUGAAAUCUUAUUUAAAAAAAAGUUCUUAGCCUGUUUUCCAUUAAAAAAAAAAAAUACUGAUUGGCAUUAGUUACACUGCCUUCUUUACUGAUUGUGUCCCGUACCAGUAUUUUCCUGAUACUGUCUGGGACUGAUGUCAGCCUAACCUGCCUGUAAUUUCCCAGGUUCUCAUUUACCUUUAAAUACUGGCACAAACAUUUUCUCCCUUGUCCUCUCUCUCUGUCUGAUCCAAUAUGGCAAUUCCUGUGUUCUGGACAGGCAAGAUCUCUCAGUUAUCUCUCUCAGUUAAUUCUAAUACUGUUUAGCCCAUUUAUGUAGAGAAGUGGUUCUCAUUUUUCAUUUGCGGACCCUUAAUUUCAAAUGGAGGGGUGGACCCCUUUGGAAAUCUGAGUCUACAGACCCCAGGGUCUUCAAACCACAGGUUGAAAGCCACUGAUCUAGAGGUCACUUUACAUAGUAACACUAGACUGGUUAUCGACUUAUGACAAGGGAAAUAAUGUAUUUCAGGAGGUUUCUGACAGUCUUUUGCUACCGUUUGAAGUCCAGAGAGGGUUUUCUUCCACCACCUGUGUUUCUCCACCUACCUCUAGAAAAGUGGUUACUGAGGUCAGACUAAUAAUUCGCUUCAGGGAGACUUUGUCAUUGUGCUUCCAAAAGAGAGCAAACUGCUUAUGGAGACACUGCAAUUCGGCCUUUUAUUGUCAUCAUUCCUCAGCAACACAGAAGUCCUUACAAAGCUUGGCAUAGCAAAAGAGGAGGAUACCUUAUGAUCACAUCAUAUGAUAUUGUUACUGAUAAUUAGAAUUACUAUAAAUCCUGAAUGAGUUAUAUAUAAUCAGCUACGAGGGACACCGUAACUAUUCUCACAGAAGCUGUGGAUUCUCAACACCUUUGAACAACAACAAGGUGUCAAGCUGAGCACUCAAAUAUUGGGUUGCACAAAAUUAAUGGACAUUUCUGAAUUUGUCUGCAAGUGACUUGGCUAUGGUUUCAAAAAGUCAGUGGCGGAGCUAAAAACAUUGCCAGGAAUCCUUGAUACCACAUCUAAGCUCUACAAGACAACACCUCUAAAUCAGUCAAACUUAAUAUUUUGAAACAGCUUGUCAAUGGUUGGUUGGCCCUUUAAGGGAAGUAAGGGCCAUCUUAUCUGCAACAGGCUCCUGUAAGAGAAGUCAACCCACACCCACCAGGACAUAAUUAAAUCUAAGAUGGCUGAUUGGUAGCUAAUUAGCCUGAUAAAGAGUUACCAGGGCUCAGCUGGGGGAUGAGAGUGUUCUAGAAACAGGAAGCUCCUGAGGAAAUAUGCUCCCAGGAGAGUCACCAGAGCAAGGAGUCCAGAAGGUGCACUUCUAGGGACAAGGAACUCCCAAAAAGUGGCAGAAAGCCCAGCCUGUCAGGAACUACACACUGCUCCAGAGAAGAGCUGCAGUUGAUAUAGCUCUGCUGACCCUUGGCUCUGGGAAAGGAUUCUCCUCAGAUAGUGGCAAGAGGCCUGAUUCCAGGGAAGAGAGCUGUGCUGAGAGAACUCUGCUAGUACAGGGCCCGGAUGGAAGGAAGCACUGGAUCCAGGUUGAAAUGGAUAAACUAAGACUGACCAUCUCCCAGCUAAGACUCUGUGGUGACGUUUUACUUGUAUUUUCAUUUGGCCUCACUGAAUGUACUGAUGACACAUUAGGGGAAACUGAGCCAAGGAAAGUCGGGAGCACCAUGCUUGGCCAGCAGAGGGUGCUACAGUGCAGGUCGGUCUUAAAUAGGAUUUUCCAGACUACCACAAUUAAAGAAGGCCCAUUAUUACUUUUCUGUGAUUCCCUACUUCUUGUCCACCACUCAGCCGCAAUUACUGGACAAUCAUCCCACAAUUCAAGUAAGGCCUUACUCUUAUAUAGAAGUUGUACUACUCACCACAAUGCUCCCUUCAAUGUGGAUUCCAUGUCUUGCAGAUAUCUGCAUCAUCAUCAUCUGGAGACUCCCAAUGUGUCUGAUAACUUCCUACAGGCUCCUGGCUGAUGAGCUGGAGUUGUGACCCUCUUGACAUUUAUCCACUAAGAAUGUUCAACUUUGUGUUAAGGAAGAGGGAGACGACUCAGUUGCUAUAUUAGAGAGUAAAUUAAAGAGGCAGUGCUGGAAGUAAAGAUGAGCUUGCUUUGGAGGCAUACUGGUUCCUAUGCUUCAAAAUUGUUUGGAGAUGAGGAUGUUAGUUAUUAAAUAUUCCACUUCCCCAUGUGCUUCUCAGAUAGAGGCAUCACAAAAGUUGCAUCUGCUGGUGAAAUGAGAGAACUAUGCCCUGACAAUUAUUCCAUGAAAUCUAACCAGGGGGCACUCCUACUGGGUGGAGGAGGAGGGGAAAAGGAGGAGGCAAAUCUUAAGUUAUCACUACUGAAAACAUUUUGGAAAAACAAAUAUUUGAUUAUGAACUGUUUGGUAAAGUAAAUGCUCAUUUUUCCCCCCCCAGUUGAAAACCCCUUCAUUUCUGGAACAUUCAUUCUAAAAUAAAAUUACUGCUCCAACUGAAGCACAAUACAAAUUAGAAAAAGGAUUGCAUAUUUUCAUUUUCUUAAAAACAUUCCAAAUACACAUUGUUUUAGAAACAAAGUGCACUUCAACAAAUGUCUGACAAAAGACACUGUU
Dermochelys coriacea (leatherback sea turtle) is the source of this 4854-nucleotide long non-coding RNA. RefSeq lists it as uncharacterized. The record is from RefSeq and is a predicted model, not a curated record. Lineage: Eukaryota; Metazoa; Chordata; Testudines; Dermochelyidae. The transcript is spliced from 2 exons.